RNAcentral lists this ribosomal RNA (354 nucleotides) under uncultured bacterium. RNAcentral describes it as "partial 16S ribosomal RNA". It matches the Rfam family "Bacterial small subunit ribosomal RNA", at positions 338 to 706 of the family's 1533-position model. The record is from RNAcentral.
CCUACGGGAGGCAGCAGUGGGGAAUAUUGGGCAAUGGAGGAAACUCUGACCCAGCAACGCCGCGUGAAUGAUGAAGGUCUUCGGAUUGUAAAGUUCUUUUCUAAGGGAAGAAGAAAGUGACGGUACCUUAGGAAUAAGCCUCGGCUAACUACGUGCCAGCAGCCGCGGUAAUCCGUCGGGGGCGAGCGUUAUCCGGAAUGACUGGGCGUAAAGGGUGCGUAGGUGGUUUGGCAAGUUAGUAGCGUAAUUCCGGGGCACAACCUUGGAACUACUACUAAAACUGUUGGACUUGAGUGCAGGAGAGGUAAGGGGAAGUCGGGGUGUAGCGGUGGAAUGCGUAGAUAUUAGGAGGAA